Molecule: ribosomal RNA, 489 nt
Filed under: uncultured bacterium
Lineage: Bacteria
Description: bacterial SSU rRNA
Rfam family: Bacterial small subunit ribosomal RNA
Source: RNAcentral
AACACAUGCAAGUCGUACGAGAACUCUUCUGCUUGCAGAAGAUAGUAAAGUGGCGCACGGGUGAGUAACGCGUGGGUAAUCUACCUCUGAAUCGGGGAUAACUCCGCGAAAGCGGAGCUAAUACCGGAUAAUAUUCUUUUUACUUUGGACUAAAAAAUACAAAGGUGGUCUCUACAUGUAAGCUACUGUUUGGAGAUGAGCCCGCGUACCAUUAGCUUGUUGGUGGGGUAAUGGCCUACCAAGGCUGCGAUGGUUAGCUGGUCUGAGAGGAUGAUCAGCCACACUGGAACUGACACACGGUCCAGACUCCGUACGGGAGGCAGCAGUGAGGUAAUUUUGCGCAAUGGGGGAAAACCCUGACGCAGCAACGCCGCGUGAGUGAUGAAGGCCCUCGGGUCGUAAAGCUCUGUCAAGUGGGAAGAAAAUGCUUGAUGUUAAUACCAUCUUGCACUGACGGUACCACUGAAGGAAGCACCGGCUAACUCCGUG